RNAcentral lists this ribosomal RNA (532 nucleotides) under uncultured bacterium. RNAcentral describes it as "bacterial SSU rRNA". It matches the Rfam family "Bacterial small subunit ribosomal RNA", at positions 8 to 533 of the family's 1533-position model. The record is from RNAcentral.
AGAGUUUGAUCAUGGCUCAGAUUGAACGCUGGCGGCAUGCUUAAUACAUGCAAGUCGAACGGUAACAUGCCCUCCGGGGUGAUGACGAGUGGCGGACGGGUGAGUAACGCAUAGGAAUCUACCUAGUAGUGGGGGACAACUUGGGGAAACUCAAGCUAAUACCGCAUACAUCCUACGGGAAAAAGAGGGCCUCUUCUUGAAAGCUCUUGCUAUUAGAUGAGCCUAUGUCAGAUUAGCUUGUUGGUGGGGUAACGGCCUACCAAGGCGACGGUCUGUAGCUGGUCUGAGAGGAUGAUCAGCCACACUGGGACUGAGACACGGCCCAGACUCCUACGGGAGGCAGCAGUAGGGAAUAUUGGACAAUGGGCGCAAGCCUGAUCCAGCAAUGCCGCGUGUGUGAAGAGGGCCUGCGGGUUGUAAAGCACUUUCAAUUAGGAAGAAAGGCUCAAGGUUAAUAACCUUGAGUCUUGACAUUAUCAAUAGAAGAAGCACCGGCUAACUCUGUGCCAGCAGCCGCGGUAAUACAGAGGGU